UAAGGAAUAUUGGUCAAUGGAGGCAACUCUGAACCAGCCAUGCCGCGUGCAGGAAGACGGCCCUACGGGUUGUAAACUGCUUUUAUACGGGAAUAAACCCCACUACGUGUAGUGGGCUGCAUGUACCGUACGAAUAAGGAUCGGCUAACUCCGUGCCAGCAGCCGCGGUAAUACGGAGGAUCCGAGCGUUAUCCGGAAUUAUUGGGUUUAAAGGGUGCGUAGGCGGCACGCUAAGUCAGGGGUGAAAUACGGUGGCUCAACCAUCGCAGUGCCUUUGAUACUGGUGUGCUUGAAUGUACAUGAGGUAGGCGGAAUGAGACAAGUAGCGGUGAAAUGCAUAGAUAUGUCUCAGAACACCGAUUGCGAAGGCAGCUUACUAAAGUACGAUUGACGCUGAGGCACGAAAGCGUGGGGAUCGAACAGG
RNAcentral lists this ribosomal RNA (424 nucleotides) under uncultured bacterium. RNAcentral's name for it is "bacterial SSU rRNA". It matches the Rfam family "Bacterial small subunit ribosomal RNA", at positions 355 to 776 of the family's 1533-position model. The record is from RNAcentral.